RNAcentral lists this ribosomal RNA (511 nucleotides) under uncultured bacterium. Its description in RNAcentral is "bacterial SSU rRNA". It matches the Rfam family "Bacterial small subunit ribosomal RNA", at positions 17 to 518 of the family's 1533-position model. The record is from RNAcentral.
UUCUGGCUCAGGAUGAACGCUAGCUACAGGCUUAACACAUGCAAGUCGAGGGGCAGCGAGAGGAAAGCUUGCUUCCUUGUCGGCGACCGGCGCACGGGUGAGUAACGCGUAUCCAACCUUCCCCUUAGUAGGGCAUAGCCCGUAGAAAUGCGGAUUAAUACCCUAUGUUUUCCGAUGAGGACAUCUGAGCUGGAACAAAGGUUUACCGCUAAGGGAUGGGGAUGCGUCUGAUUAGGCAGCAGGCGGGGUAACGGCCCACCUGGCCGACGAUCAGUAGGGGUUCUGAGAGGAAGGUCCCCCACAUUGGAACUGAGACACGGUCCAAACUCCUACGGGAGGCAGCAGUGAGGAAUAUUGGUCAAUGGGCGCGAGCCUGAACCAGCCAAGUAGCGUGCAGGAUGACGGCCCUAUGGGUUGUAAACUGCUUUUAUAGUAGAAGAAACACAUCUACGCGUAGAUGUCUGCCAGUAUACUAUGAAUAAGCAUCGGCUAACUCCGUGCCAGCCGCGGC